GUUACGAACUAAAGUACAUUAUAAAACAAAACGAUUGCUAAUAUAUUAACAUAAGUACUUGAUAUGUAACCGUAUUUUAUAAAAUGUUGAUUAGUGUUUAUUACGGCUCGUUGUUGAAUUUAAUUGAAAAGAAAAAAGAAAUGUGAAGAAUAAAGGAGAAAAUAAGAAAUAUAAAGCAAACAAAUAAAAUCAAGUGCGAAAGAGAAAACGAAUGAAAAGAAACCAAUUCGUACAUGAUAUACAACAAUUAAAGUUAACAAGUUAUGUAGAUAGUGUUCUGAAAUAGUCUUUCAAAAUUUACUUAUAAUGAAACACUGUGGGAAGUUAAAAAAAGUGGAUUCUAACACAAAAUUAUCAACUAAUGAAAAAAAUAAAAUUCUUAAACUUCGAUGAUUAUAUCAUCAACGUUGGGUACAUUGUAAAAGAAUUACAAAGGGAUGAAAAAGGUCACUUAAUAUUAAAUAAUAUUAGUGAUGAGAAAAAUCUGGAAGAGAAGAAUAGCGGAAAAAAAAAUCCACAUUUUUGAGAAAGAAUUAUUUCAGAAAACAUCUCAAUAUAUAUAAUAUGAACUUUUUAUGUCCUUAUUUCCAAAAAUUCUCGAAAAUUGUUUUAUUAUUUCAGUUUUCUUACAUUUCAUUUUUUUUCGUAUUUAGGAUAAAUUGAAAUAUUACAUAUAAGCAAGUAAAUGAACAAAAAAAACAAUUGAAGUGUACAAUAAAGACAGGGAGACAAAGAUUUAUUACUUGAAAAUACUAAACACAAAAAUGAUAUAAAUCUGUUUAAUGUUAAAUGUUGGAAUUAAUUGUUAUGAAUUAAAAAUUACAAGGAAAGAUUAACUUAUUCGUAUAAUGUAAAAUAUUUAAAUUUAUUGCAAAUUGAAAUACCAUAACGAAUGAAAAUGAUGUCCGGAUUAACUAGAAGCAAAGUUUUUUAUUAGUGUGAAAUAUUUUGAUGCACUAUAUUUAUAGAAAAUAUUUCAUAGUUGAAAAAAAUAGUGGCACAUUAUGCUGCAUCGAAAGAUUGGUGUCAUGCUUCUUUUUUUUUAAAAUGGAAUCUGACAGCUGUAAUAUUCAAUUACUUGUAUAUAUUUAAUGAAAAAGAUAAAUACUAUAAAUACCUAACAUUUUAUGAAUACACUAUUGUGGUGGUCUAUUAACCUUUGUUCAAAAUAAUAAAAGACAUAUGUUACGAACAUAAAUGCGAUAAUAUAACUAUAAUUUGCUUGUUUUUUUGGUGAAAGAAAGUAACUGAAAUAAUUGAAAAAGUAUUAAUGCGCUUAUUUAUUAAGAAGAAAGUUUUUUCAAAUAUGUUACUUUAUAUAACGAUAAUUUAAGAAAAUAAAAAGUGAUGCAAAGAGUCCAACAAUCAGAAAUAUUUCCCCAUAUUAGAUUGAUUAUUAAACUGAAAAAAUUUGAAAGUGGAAAGAAAUAUAUUUUAACAUUAAUAUUCACAAAAUUGACAGUUGUAUAGAUUAUGUUUUAUUAAUUUAUUAAUUAUUAUAUAGCUUUGUAAAAUAAAAUAAAAACUGAAGCGCAUCACUAUUUUUUGAUAUCGACCGUUAUAUUCGUACUUCUUUCUAAAUUUACGUGGAAUGUAGAAAUGAUAGAAUUUAUGCAAUUUCUUUUAAAAUUGUUUAUUUAUGAUAAAUUAUAAACAAAAUAUUAUAAAUUACAUAGUGAUAAAAAAAUUUUGUAAAAAAAAUUUGUGUUUUGUAAUUCUAAUUACUGUUUUUAAUAAUUAUUUACGCGACGAUGUUGAGGAGUGCGUAGACGUGCUGUAUAAAAGAUACUUUAGUUGAUAACUCCUACAGUGUAUAUGAUUCUUAUAAUUACAAAUUUGAAAAAAAGUGACGAGUAAAAA
This is a long non-coding RNA of Vespa crabro (European hornet), 1860 nucleotides long. RefSeq lists it as uncharacterized. Lineage: Eukaryota; Metazoa; Arthropoda; Insecta; Hymenoptera; Vespidae. The record is from RefSeq and is a predicted model, not a curated record. The transcript has 2 exons.